GAUGAACGCUAGCGGGAGGCUUAACACAUGCAAGUCGAGGGGCAGCACGGGGUAGCAAUACUCUGGUGGCGACCGGCGCACGGGUGAGUAACACGUAUGCAACCUACCCUGUACAGGGGGAUAACCCGGAGAAAUUCGGACUAAUAUCCCAUAAUGAUAUUGAAAGGCAUCUUUUGAUAUUUAAAGCUCAGGCGGUACGGAUGGCGAUGCGGAACAUUAGCUAGUUGGCAGGGUAACGGCCUACCAAGGCUGCGAUGUUUAGGGGUACCGUGAGAGGGUGGAACCCCCACCACUGGUACUGAGACACGGACCAGACUCCUACGGGUGGCUG
This 331-nucleotide ribosomal RNA is filed under the name uncultured Bacteroidota bacterium. Its description in RNAcentral is "bacterial SSU rRNA". It matches the Rfam family "Bacterial small subunit ribosomal RNA", at positions 28 to 351 of the family's 1533-position model. The record is from RNAcentral. Lineage: Bacteria; Pseudomonadati; Bacteroidota.